GCCGGACUCCCGCCUGGUUCCACCCCUGUCCCCGGCGACGCCCCCGUGGAGCGCUCCGGCAUGUUGUUCCGCGUGCCCUCCGCCCCUACCCCAAGACCCCAGCAGAGGCGAGCGCUAGGGACCCCCAGAGAGGAAGUGGGUGAUGGAUGGUCGUUCCUUGACGCGUUGAGGCUGCAGUCAGGAUUUGGCGCUGUCUCGUCUGUGCCCGGCUUAUUAUGAAGGCAGCUCAGACUGAGAAGACUAGUGCCGGCUGCUGGCCUCGGGCCAUUCCAAUUGGCUGAUGUGAGAAGGAGUCUGGGAGUCGGCCGCGUUUCUCUGGUUGCACUAGGAGCUGAAGCGGCAGAAGUGGCAGCUCUGCCCCCUAGUGGACGUGCGCAGCAGAGCGCCCCUCUCCAAUUUCAGAAGCACCAUCACUGUGGUGCAGGAUAGGGGAAGAGAUUUACUGUGUUCACGCUGGUGGAAAUAGCCAAACUUGGCAGAAAAAAAAAAUCCCAUGUUUUCCCCUCUCUAUAGUUUAUUUCUGAGGAGCUGGUCGAUUUGAACACAGGAAACA
Hipposideros armiger (great roundleaf bat) is the source of this 553-nucleotide long non-coding RNA. RefSeq lists it as uncharacterized. NCBI's taxonomy places the organism in Eukaryota, Metazoa, Chordata, Mammalia, Chiroptera, Hipposideridae. The record is from RefSeq and is a predicted model, not a curated record. The transcript has 2 exons.